Pseudoliparis swirei is the source of this 1492-nucleotide long non-coding RNA. RefSeq lists it as uncharacterized. The record is from RefSeq and is a predicted model, not a curated record. The transcript is spliced from 3 exons. Lineage: Eukaryota; Metazoa; Chordata; Actinopteri; Perciformes; Liparidae.
UCGCCAUGUUUCGCUCUUCUGCUCCGUUUUCCUUCAAUGGUCAGUGUCAAGAGACACGCGAUGAGGACACAUCACUUCCGGGGCAGCAGCUUGUCAUCCAUAAAAACAGCUGUGCAGACAGAGAGCGGCCAAAUAUAUAACAUAUACAUGCACGAUAAUAUAUCAAGGCACUGAAGCUGUUUCACCUGCCACACAGGAGAGUGUGAAUUGGUUGUGGUAACCAUGGCAACAUAGAAAAAGAAGCGACUGCAUGGCAGGUGGAGGGAAGGAGCCUGUGCACAGUUUAUUAUUGCUGAAUAAGCCUUUGGGGGAGGGGGAACCUUGAAGUUGAGCCUGCUUGUAAUGUCCUAUAAAAAUGAGGGAAACCACUUCAUGCAGCUGUCCUCCACCAGAUAGUGUUAAUGUUUAUCUUAUAUGCAAACAUCCCGCGCUCACAUUAACAGCAACAUUAACGGCAACAUCGAGGCUUUAGUGAGCAGAAGAGAGAGAAACUUUCACUUCACUUUCACAGUUAAUCCUGUCAGCCUGAAAGUUUCCUGUCUUGGUUCUUUAUUUUCUAUUUGCACCACUUAACCACAGAUUUCAGGCACUUUAAUGUUUUUAAAUAUUAUUGGCGGUGUACAGAAAGUUGUUGGAACAAAAGUGUGUAUACAAUGAAGGUUAGAAAGUUCAUUGGCAAGGCCUUGGAUUGUUAUUACUAUGAGCCCAUGAUGUUUCGGUUUUCAUUUUAAUGACACAUUUCUUUUCAAAACACAGAUGUUUUUCUCCCAAACAUUGCAAAAUGUUUGUGUUACCAACAAUAGCUAACUUUAUUCUCUCUCCCAAAUCAUAAUGUUAAGUUGAGUCUACUAAUAACAGACAAGAGCCACAUCUGACUCAUGUUCUGGGCAAUAAAAAAAACACAUUCCCACAUACUAAACAUCCCAACAUCUGAGCGUCCCAUCAAGUCGAUCUAUAUCGGAGAUAGGACUAGGAUAAGAUAAACAUAAAAUAUAAUGAUACAUAUUGAAAACAAUAACAGUAAACCCAUUUAUACACCUCAGUAAAAGCAAAAGAGGAGGGGUAUCUCUUGUAUUCGUGGCAUGUUAUGCAGGAUUAGAGAAGAGCUGAGGUGACAGGUGGCUUCUUUAAUACCAUUCAGAGAGAUACGGCUUCAACAAGAUUGACUUUUAACCAGUCAGGGUUUAAACUCAACUAUCAAGUUUUCUUCAAAUUAUGAGGAGCAGAUGUGAUGGGAAUAAUAUUUUUAAAUAAAUCUAACAAUAUGAAUUGGAGUAUUGUGUGUGUCCAGUGAAAGGAACAGCAGGGGGAGAUAAAGCACCGGUUGACCAACCAGCCAGCUUGGUUGUGUUCACGUCUGUGUGUGAGGAGCUUGGUAGCACGUUGCAUUUUUAAUAGCUACGUGAUAGUUUCUAUUAUCAUUUAAUAAUGUAGCUUUAUUGGCAGAUGACUACUUUCAACUUUGGAUGAACUAAAGCUUGUUUUGAUCCCU